This 843-nucleotide ribosomal RNA is filed under the name uncultured bacterium. RNAcentral's name for it is "partial 16S ribosomal RNA". The record is from RNAcentral.
UUUUAAUCUUGCGACCGUACUCCCCAGGCGGAAUGCUUAAUCCGUUAGGUGUGUCACCGAACAGUAUACUGCCCGACGACUGGCAUUCAUCGUUUACGGUGUGGACUACCAGGGUAUCUAAUCCUGUUUGCUUCCCACACUUUCGCACCUCAGCGUCAGUAUCGAGCCAGUGAGCCGCCUUCGCCACUGGUGUUCCUCCGAAUAUCUACGAAUUUCACCUCUACACUCGGAAUUCCACUCACCUCUCUCGAACUCUAGACCAGUAGUUUUGGAGGCAGUUCCGGGGUUGAGCCCCGGGAUUUCACCCCCAACUUUCCGAUCCGCCUACGUGCGCUUUACGCCCAGUAAUUCCGAACAACGCUAACCCCCUCCGUAUUACCGCGGCUGCUGGCACGGAGUUAGCCGGGGUUUCUUUACCAGGUACUGUCAUUAUCAUCCCUGGCGAAAGAGCUUUACGACCCUAGGGCCUUCAUCACUCACGCGGCAUGGCUAGAUCAGGCUUGCGCCCAUUGUCUAAGAUUCCCCACUGCUGCCUCCUGUAGGAGUCUGGGCCGUGUCUCAGUCCCAGUGUUGCUGAUCAUCCUCUAAAACCAGCUAUAGAUCGUAGACUUGGUGGGCCAUUACCCCACCAACUAUCUAAUCUAACGCGGGCCGAUCUUUCACCGAAAUUCUUUCCCCCGAAGGGCGUAUACGGUAUUAAACCCAGUUUCCCGGGACUAUUCCGUAGUGAAAGGCACGUUCCCACGCGUUACUAACCCGUCCGCCACUAAGCCCGAAGGCUUCGUUCGACUUGCAUGUGUUAGGCCUGCCGCCAGCGUUCGUUCUGAGCCAGGAUCAAACUCU